UACGUAGGGUGCGAGCGUUAAUCGGAAUUACUGGGCGUAAAGCGUGCGAAGGCGGUUUUGUAAGCCCGAUGUGAAAUCCCCGGGCUCAACCUGGGAAUGGCAUUUGGGACUGCAAGGCUGGAGUUUGGCAGAGGAGACUGGAAUUCCUGGUGUAGCAGUGAAAUGCGUAGAUAUCAGGAGGAAUACCGAUGGCGAAGGCAGGUCUCUGGGCUAUAACUGACGCUGAGGAGCGAAAGCGUGGGGAGCGAACAGG
This 253-nucleotide ribosomal RNA is filed under the name uncultured bacterium. RNAcentral describes it as "partial 16S ribosomal RNA". It matches the Rfam family "Bacterial small subunit ribosomal RNA", at positions 524 to 776 of the family's 1533-position model. The record is from RNAcentral.